GGCACUGCCGACGAGGGUCAAAGUGUAGUAUCGGUUCUUAUCAGUUUGAUAUCUGAUACGGGUUGUAUUUGGACCCGAGAUAUUAAACUUAUCUUUGCAAGUUGGCAGAGUGCUUCAAGCCUGUUUCAUCUCCACCGCGAGUUGGCCCGGUAUUGCACUAUCUUUUGGGUGGGCCCACGCGUU
This is a small nuclear RNA of Dermacentor albipictus, 183 nucleotides long. RefSeq annotates it as U2 spliceosomal RNA. Lineage: Eukaryota; Metazoa; Arthropoda; Arachnida; Ixodida; Ixodidae. The record is from RefSeq and is a predicted model, not a curated record.